AUCCAGCUGACGAGUCCCAAAUAGGACGAAACGCGCGCAUCCUAGAU
Schistosoma mansoni is the source of this 47-nucleotide non-coding RNA. NCBI's taxonomy places the organism in Eukaryota, Metazoa, Platyhelminthes, Trematoda, Strigeidida, Schistosomatidae. The record is from Rfam.